This is a long non-coding RNA of Lotus japonicus, 233 nucleotides long. RefSeq lists it as uncharacterized. NCBI's taxonomy places the organism in Eukaryota, Viridiplantae, Streptophyta, Magnoliopsida, Fabales, Fabaceae. The record is from RefSeq and is a predicted model, not a curated record. The transcript is spliced from 3 exons.
CAGGCUUGCAGCUGUGAGGAAGAUGGUUUAUUUGGGUUUGAUACACAUAGUGAUGGUGAUGGACAAAAGCAUCUGGUCACUCAUAUAGGUAUCAACAUCAAGCAGACAUGAAUGCUGCGCCGAAAGUGAAUGCCAUUCUUAGUCCUGCAGGCCUUCCUUUGCGCCCGAGGAAUGAUUUUCACCAACAUGUGUUGGUCAUAGUGGAGAAAAGACUUGAAAAUAACUUGUCAAGG